AUGACACCAAGCUGAUUCACAGGCAGUUUUCUUUCUGCACAACAACACGGCUGAAGGACGGCUUGGUGGAGGCAGACUCCGUUUCCUAAGGGCUUAUCCCAAGUUAGAGUUCAGAGGGAAGGGAAUAGAACGCGACUUGUCCACCAAACAAAAUAUGCGUGUUACUACAGUUGUAUGUAGUGGUCAGGCAAAAAGAAAAUCAGAACUUCCAAAGCUGGAGUGUCAGGUGGUUGUGAACUACUCAACCUGGUUCCUGGGAACCAAACUCAGGUCCUCCGCCAAAGGAGCACAUGCACUUAGCCACUGAGUCAUCUCUGAAGUCCCAGAAACCUCUGAAUGCCCAGGUGACAAGACCAAGGCUGAGAGACUAGGAAAGGGCUAAGAAUCUGAGUCACUGGCUGAGCAAACUACAGGUCAAUGGUGGACCUUCUCAAAAGCAAUACAUAAAUGAUCGAGGAACAAAAGCAUCACAUCAUCAACUUUUGCCCUCCACAACUGCCUACAGAGUAUAGAGAUUAAGUUCUUCACAACUCCUCACCUGCCUAGUUGAUCAGCCCAGCCAUUCUUUCCAUUUAUCUUCUGCAAUCAAGAGAAACUCUUCUGGACAAAAAGAUGUCCUCUGCAGAUGGCACCAGUCAAAAGAACCCAGUAAACACCAAACCUUGGUCUGCAGGACAAAACACAACCCUUCCUGAGGGUCAGUUCCUUGGAUGUGACUGGAGUUGCUCCAGAUAUUACAAUUAAAAUAAGGGCAUUCAUUACAUUAUAUUCCCUGUGAAUGUUCAUUAAAGUAAAAGAGGUAGAGGAGGUGAAGGAGGAGGAAGAAGGGGAGGAGGAGGAAGAAGAAGAAGAGGAAGAGGAGAAAGAGAAAGCUGCUGCUGCUGCUGUUGAUGACUACCUGGGCUCUGCGCAGCUUCCCUGGCCACACCCCUUCCCACACACCUGCAGGAAGACCACAGCCGCCACAGAGAAUGGGUCGGUACCAAGGUCAGUUCAUAAUAAAGAGCUUUCCAGAAGCCCCCAUCCCCACCCCAAGCCAACAGGAAUUGGCAAUGAACUUUAAGAAAAGGCUACGCGAGCCAGAAAACAACUUAGGGCUGUUUAAUUUUCCUGACAUGAACGCUGGCCACCCAAGGGGAUAAAGGAAACACCUGUCUCCCGUGGGCAGCGGUUCUGCAGGGCGUGUGGAUAUCCAGAAAGCUGCUGGGAGACUUCUUUCACCCGCCAAGUUAGAGACAAACGAACCUGUGGAAAGAGUGGUUUCGCAGAAGACCAUGGACCCCAGCCUGGGUCUCAGCUCUGCCUCUGACUAGGAAGGGGCCACUAGAAUCAGCAACCCCGCCUCUAAGAAGAACAUAAGCUUUUUGCACAGUAUUCUCUCAGGAGCUUUUAUUGAGACUCAUAAAGGAAGCAACAACACUUGAGAGUGUUGCAAAGUGGAAAAAACAAAACAGAAACAAAAACAACAACAAAAAACACGUGAACAUGACGUUGGGGGAAAGGAUGAAACCAGCCAUCGCAAGCCAGGAGAAUCCUUGGGAAGUGAGGCUCAGCGGCUGAGCAGCCUGAGCACAGAGGUUCAGGGUCAGGGUAGGGUGCCUAGCGAAUUCCCGUAACGCAGGACACUGCCCAAGCCAGCUUCAUAAAAAGUCACUCCGUUGAUUUCAGGCUCAAUGGGAACAUCUCUUGGCUGUUUGCUGAAUUUAGACACUUUAAAAAGUUUUCUUUGACUGAACAAGGGGUUCCUGAGACCAGCUUCCUGAGGGUAUCUUGGUAAACAAGCCUCCCACCACGAAUUUCCUUGCUGUUAUUGUAACUGGUUUUAACUGCACUUGAGUUUGUUUGGUUUGGUCUUUUGUUGUUUUUUUGUUUUUGUUUUUUUUCUUUUUUCCUUUUCAGACAGUUGCACUUAAAAUGUACUAACUUUUCAAUGAGAGAUGUAGGUUUGAGAGAAAAUGUUUGAACUCCCUUGAUGGAUCCUGUUGGUCCUAAGGCAGAUCCCCUUCCCAGACAGUGUCGCUUUGGACGGAAAACACAAAUCCUUGGAGAAGUGAGGUGAUAUGAGGAAGUGGCUUGGCAAGCCAUGGCUGUGCCUUGAUCUGCUGCUAGCCUCCAACCCCAGCUGUACAGGCACUGUGUGAGGUGUUCAGCCAUGCCUUAGCCGUAGUAAGCAUCCUGGGUUAAUGAGGUAAUGUUCAUAUGAUUUGUGAGGUCACCUGAUAGAGGGAAAAGACACAUGGUCCUCCAUUUUGUAAUUUGGGGAGUGGGGAAGAUGGCAGGCUAGUGAAAUUCAGGAGUCAAGAAACAUGAUGUGACCAGUUACAUAUCACAAAAAAAGAAGGAUAAGAAGGAAGAGGAGGAAGAAGAAGAGAAAAGGAAAAGAAGAAAAAGAAAAGAUGAUGGGAAUAGCAGACUCCCAGGUCUUUAGAAAUGGUUUCAUCAUCUUUGGGAAGUACAGAUUGUGGUCGCAGACCCCAGAUAUUUCACACCAACAAAAGCCAUCUGUCUGCUGCAUCUACAAACCAACCUCUACUUCCUGCCUUUGGUAUAGGCUAUCAGCUCUUUAAUAAGCCAAUCAGAAUGUUAGAGAGGGAGUGUUUACAAGAUGUAGCCAUAUGAAUAAUAAUACCAAAGUCCAGUCUACACUCAACUCUGCAGGCAUAGAAACCAGCAUUUGAAUAAUACGAAGACAACAUUUACUCUGUGCUUAAUAAUAUUAUCCCAACAUGUGGGUGGGGCUUUGUGAUGAAGUAAUGACAGAAGGAGGCUCACAUGUGGGCAGUGGGCUAGUUUCUGAUAGUGAAAGGGCAGGAAACACAGGGAAGGACAGGAGGAGGUUCUCAAGGAAUGACAGACAGAGUAAGGUAAGGUUGAAUUUAAACUUGGGUUUUCAAAGAGCUUUCAGGAAAUCUAAGUAGAAAAAAACUUGAAUACGUUGGCCUAAUGCAAGAUCUUUUGACCUACCAUUUUACAUGGGAAAUCUUUAUAUGAACCCAGCUAUAUCAGUAAAUACAAUAAGCCUAUAAGUCAAACAUUUACUAAAAAUAAGUUUUAUAAGGAUGUUUUAAAAAUCUUUGGUAUAUGUAUGUGUGUGUGUGUGUGUGUGUGUGUGUGUAAUGUUAGCAUUUACUAAGGAUGAAAUAAUUUUUAUAGUGCAGAGAUGAAUUGCUUAUUUUUACAUACAGAAUUAAACUUUCUCUGAAUAUUUGAUACUGCAGGACAUAGUAGUCUUCAGUGAUUUUCAAAA
This 3247-nucleotide long non-coding RNA is filed under the name Mus musculus (house mouse). RNAcentral describes it as "predicted gene 12295". The record is from RNAcentral. Lineage: Eukaryota; Metazoa; Chordata; Mammalia; Rodentia; Muridae.